Molecule: ribosomal RNA, 158 nt
Filed under: uncultured bacterium
Lineage: Bacteria
Description: partial 16S ribosomal RNA
Rfam family: Bacterial small subunit ribosomal RNA
Source: RNAcentral
UGAGGAAUAUUGGUCAAUGGGCGGAAGCCUGAACCAGCCAAGUCGCGUGAGGGAAUAAGGCCCUACGGGUCGUAAACCUCUUUUGCCGGGGAGCAAGGGCGGGGACGUGUCCCGGCCCGGAGAGUACCCGGNGAAAAAGCAUCGGCUAACUCCGUGCC